RNAcentral lists this ribosomal RNA (501 nucleotides) under uncultured bacterium. RNAcentral describes it as "partial 16S ribosomal RNA". It matches the Rfam family "Bacterial small subunit ribosomal RNA", at positions 30 to 523 of the family's 1533-position model. The record is from RNAcentral.
AUUGAACGCUGGCGGCAGGCUUAACGCAUGCAAGUCGAGCGGAGAUGAGGUGCUUGCACCUUAUCUUAGCGGCGGACGGGUGAGUAAUGCUUAGGAAUCUGCCUAUUAGUGGGGGACAACAUUCCGAAAGGAAUGCUAAUACCGCAUACGUCCUACGGGAGAAAGCAGGGGAUCUUCGGACCUUGCACUAAUAGAUGAGCCUAAGUCGGAUUAGCUAGUUGGUGGGGUAAAGGCCUACCAAGGCGACGAUCUGUAGCGGGUCUGAGAGGAUGAUCCGCCACACUGGGACUGAGACACGGCCCAGACUCCUACGGGAGGCAGCAGUGGGGAAUAUUGGACAAUGGGGGGAACCCUGAUCCAGCCAUGCCGCGUGUGUGAAGAAGGCCUUAUGGUUGUAAAGCACUUUAAGCGAGGAGGAGGCUACUGAGACUAAUACUCUUGGAUAGUGGACGUUACUCGCAGAAUAAGCACCGGCUAACUCUGUGCCAGCAGCCGCCGUAA